GCUGGGCACAGUGGUGCAUGCCUGUAAUCCCAGCAGCUUAGGAGGCUGAGACUGCAGGAUCGUGAGUUCAAAUCCAGCCUCAGCAACUGCGAGGCAUUAAGCAACUCAGUGAGAUCCUGUCUCUA
Molecule: small RNA, 125 nt
Filed under: Marmota monax (woodchuck)
Lineage: Eukaryota; Metazoa; Chordata; Mammalia; Rodentia; Sciuridae
Source: RNAcentral